Molecule: ribosomal RNA, 497 nt
Filed under: uncultured bacterium
Lineage: Bacteria
Description: partial 16S ribosomal RNA
Rfam family: Bacterial small subunit ribosomal RNA
Source: RNAcentral
GAUGAACGCUGGCGGCGUGCCUAAUACAUGCAAGUCGAGCGAACGGACGAGAAGCUUGUUUCUCUGAUGUUAGCGGCGGACGGGUGAGUAACACGUGGAUAACCUACCUAUAAGACUGGGAUAACUUCGGGAAACCGGAGCUAAUACCGGAUAAUAUUUUGAACCGCAUGGGUCAAAAGUGAAAGACGGUCUUGCUGUCACUUAUAGAUGGAUCCGCGCUGCAUUAGCUAGUUGGUAAGGUAACGGCUUACCAAGGCAACGAUGCAUAGCCGACCUGAGAGGGUGAUCGGCCACACUGGAACUGAGGCACGGUCCAGACUCCUACGGGAGGCAGCAGUAGGGAAUCUUCCGCGAUGGGCGAAAGCCUGACGGAGCAACGCCGCGUGAGUGAUGAAGGUCUUCGGAUCGUAAAACUCUGUUAUUAGGGAAGAACAUAUGUGUAAGUAACUGUGCACAUCUUGACGGUACCUAAUCAGAAAGCCACGGCUAACUACGUG